GGGGUUUCCCUUGUGGUCGGUGUACAGGUGGUGCAUGGCUGUCGUCAGCUCGUGUCGUGAGAUGUUGGGUUAAGUCCCGCAACGAGCGCAACCCUUGUCCUGUGUUGCCAGCAAUUCGGUUGGGGACUCGCAGGAGACUGCCGGGGUCAACUCGGAGGAAGGUGGGGACGACGUCAAGUCAUCAUGCCCCUUAUGUCCAGGGCUUCACACAUGCUACAAUGGCCGGUACAGAGGGCUGCGAUACCGCGAGGUGGAGCGAAUCCCUUAAAGCCGGUCUCAGUUCGGAUCGGGGUCUGCAACUCGACCCCGUGAAGUCGGAGUCGCUAGUAAUCGCAGAUCAG
RNAcentral lists this ribosomal RNA (341 nucleotides) under Rhodococcus sp. 10-1E. RNAcentral's name for it is "bacterial SSU rRNA". It matches the Rfam family "Bacterial small subunit ribosomal RNA", at positions 1011 to 1352 of the family's 1533-position model. Lineage: Bacteria; Bacillati; Actinomycetota; Actinomycetes; Mycobacteriales; Nocardiaceae. The record is from RNAcentral.